RNAcentral lists this ribosomal RNA (200 nucleotides) under uncultured bacterium. RNAcentral's name for it is "partial 16S ribosomal RNA". It matches the Rfam family "Bacterial small subunit ribosomal RNA", at positions 1300 to 1500 of the family's 1533-position model. The record is from RNAcentral.
GCAGGCUGCAACUCGCCUGCAUGAAGUCGGAAUUGCUAGUAAUCGCGGAUCAGCAUGCCGCGGUGAAUACGUUCCCGGGCCUUGUACACACCGCCCGUCACACCAUGAGAGUCGGGAACACCCGAAGUCGGUAGUCUAACCUCGUGAGGACGCCGCCGAAGGUGGGCUUGAUAAUUGGGGUGAAGUCGUAACAAGGUAAC